ACUCAAAGGAAUAGACGGGGGCCCGCACAAGCGGAGGAACAUGUGGUUUAAUUCGAUGAUACGCGAGGAACCUUACCUGGGCUUAAAUGCAGGCUGCAUAGGUCAGAGAUGGCCUUUCCCUUCGGGGCUGUUUGCAAGGUGCUGCAUGGUUGUCGUCAGCUCGUGCCGUGAGGUGUCGGGUUAAGUCCCAUAACGAGCGCAACCCUUACCGUUAGUUGCCAUCGGGUUAUGCCGGGAACUCUAGCGGGACUGCCACCGUAAGGUGAGAGGAAGGUGGGGAUGACGUCAAAUCAGCACGGCCCUUAUGUCCAGGGCUACACACGUGUUACAAUGGCCGGUACAGAGGGCAGCUACCUGGUGACAGGAUGCUAAUCCUAAAAGCCGGUCUCAGUUCGGAUUGGAGUCUGCAACCCGACUCCAUGAAGUUGGAUUCGCUAGUAAUCGCGCAUCAGCCAUGGCGCGGUGAAUACGUUCCCGGGCCUUGUACACACCGCCCGU
This 498-nucleotide ribosomal RNA is filed under the name uncultured bacterium. RNAcentral describes it as "bacterial SSU rRNA". It matches the Rfam family "Bacterial small subunit ribosomal RNA", at positions 899 to 1397 of the family's 1533-position model. The record is from RNAcentral.